ACUAUAAAAGGGUUGAAUUUAAUUGCCGUUUUAUAUUUUCUAAGAGAGUGAAAAAUUACACUAUAUAUAUAUAAUAUUGCAGUCUGGGACAAUGAAAGCAGUCAUUUUUGCCACUCUAAUUGUUCUUAAACUGAUCAUAAGCAGCGCUAAUGUUUCAGCUGAACUUGAAUCGGAAGAUAUAGUGGCUCUAGAGAAGGUGUUCAUGCAAGCUGCUCAUGUCAAUGAAGAUGCUGAAGAAAACAGCCAUUAUAAUAAUGGCAUGACGGUCCUCUUCGCCUAUUAUGGUUUAACCUGUACCAGCCAUCUCAGCUCCAACGUUCGACACAUUACCACCAACUGGGCCAAGGGGCUGUGUGAUGGGCGGAACAGCUGCUCUGGAACUGUACACACUUCCACUCUCACGGAUCCUUAUGUUGGCUGUAAAAAGGAUUUCCUUGUUAUUGCAGAAUGCCCCAAUGGGCAUGUCGUAGCUGACCACUUGUCAGGGGAGGCUCAGUGGAAAAGAUUUUCUCUGAGAUGCUAUAUAUAGUUUAACUGAGUAGCUGCAUUAUGGCUAAUGCCCUGGAACUGUAUAUAUAACUGAUAGAUUUACCAACUGCCUAAUAUAUACAUGUACUAUAAUUAGCUAUAGUUUGCAUCUGUAAUGAUAAGAUGUGUGUCAGCAAUAACUAACACUAUAUAGACACUACGUGCCAUUGUAAAAAAACAUGAAAUGUUGCUAAGAUUG
Halichondria panicea is the source of this 727-nucleotide long non-coding RNA. RefSeq lists it as uncharacterized. The transcript is spliced from 2 exons. NCBI's taxonomy places the organism in Eukaryota, Metazoa, Porifera, Demospongiae, Suberitida, Halichondriidae. The record is from RefSeq and is a predicted model, not a curated record.